UUGUCUCAAAGAUUAAGCCAUGCAUGUCUCAGUACAAGCCAAAUUAAGGUGAAACCGCGAAAGGCUCAUUAAAUCAGUUAUGGUUCCUAAGAUCGUACCCACAAUUACUUGGAUAACUGUGGUAAUUCUAGAGCUAAUACAUGCAAACAGAGCUCCGACCGGAGACGGAAGGAGUGCUUUUAUUAGAUCAAAACCAAUCGGUGGCGGGUUCGCUCGUUAUCGUACAACUUGGUGACUCUGAAUAACUUUACGCUGAUCGCACGGUCAUCGCACCGGCGACGCAUCUUUCAAAUGUCUGCCUUAUCAACUGUCGAUGGUAGGUUCUGCGCCUACCAUGGUUGUAACGGGUAACGGGGAAUCAGGGUUCGAUUCCGGAGAGGGAGCCUGAGAAACGGCUACCACAUCCAAGGAAGGCAGCAGGCGCGCAAAUUACCCACUCCCGGCACGGGGAGGUAGUGACGAAAAAUAACGAUACGGGACUCAUCCGAGGCCCCGUAAUCGGAAUGAGUACACUCUAAACCCUUUAACGAGGAUCAAUUGGAGGGCAAGUCUGGUGCCAGCAGCCGCGG
RNAcentral lists this ribosomal RNA (569 nucleotides) under Trigonopterus sp. 1 MB-2011. RNAcentral describes it as "SSU rRNA". It matches the Rfam family "Eukaryotic small subunit ribosomal RNA", at positions 32 to 579 of the family's 1831-position model. Lineage: Eukaryota; Metazoa; Arthropoda; Insecta; Coleoptera; Curculionidae. The record is from RNAcentral.